GCAGUAGCCGCGGUAAUACAGAGGGUGCGAGCGUUAAUCGGAUUUACUGGGCGUAAAGCGUGCGUAGGCGGCUUUUUAAGUCGGAUGUGAAAUCCCUGAGCUUAACUUAGGAAUUGCAUUCGAUACUGGGAAGCUAGAGUAUGGGAGAGGAUGGUAGAAUUCCAGGUGUAGCGGUGAAAUGCGUAGAGAUCUGGAGGAAUACCGAUGGCGAAGGCAGCCAUCUGGCCUAAUACUGACGCUGAGGUACGAAAGCAUGGGGAGCAAACAGGAUUAGAUACCCCAGUAGUCCCUGUCUCUUAUAA
Molecule: ribosomal RNA, 302 nt
Filed under: uncultured bacterium
Lineage: Bacteria
Description: partial 16S ribosomal RNA
Rfam family: Bacterial small subunit ribosomal RNA
Source: RNAcentral